AAGGGUAUAGCUCAGUAGUAGAGUGUGUGCCUAGCAAGCACAAGGCCCUGGGUUCAAUCUCUAGUUAAUCUUC
This 73-nucleotide transfer RNA is filed under the name Camelus bactrianus (Bactrian camel). It matches the Rfam family "tRNA". Rfam says of the family: Transfer RNA (tRNA) molecules are approximately 80 nucleotides in length. Their secondary structure includes four short double-helical elements and three loops (D, anti-codon, and T loops). Lineage: Eukaryota; Metazoa; Chordata; Mammalia; Artiodactyla; Camelidae. The record is from Rfam by way of RNAcentral. RNAcentral also lists the same sequence under 2 other names.